UACGGGGGGAGCAAGCGUUGUUCGGAUUUACUGGGCGUAAAGGGCGCGUAGGCGGUCGUGACAAGUCACUUGUGAAAUCUCCGGGCUUAACCCGGAACGGUCAAGUGAUACUGUCGGACUAGAGUACAGAAGGGGCAACUGGAAUUCUCGGUGUAGCGGUGAAAUGCGUAGAUAUCAGGAGGAACACCGAUUGCGAAGGCAGCUCGCUGGGACGUUACUGACGCUGAGACGCGAAAGCGUGGGGAGCAAACAGG
Molecule: ribosomal RNA, 254 nt
Filed under: uncultured bacterium
Lineage: Bacteria
Description: partial 16S ribosomal RNA
Rfam family: Bacterial small subunit ribosomal RNA
Source: RNAcentral